Long non-coding RNA from Vespa mandarinia (Asian giant hornet), 736 nucleotides. NCBI's taxonomy places the organism in Eukaryota, Metazoa, Arthropoda, Insecta, Hymenoptera, Vespidae. The record is from RefSeq and is a predicted model, not a curated record.
UAUUUGUGAUUCGCGAUUAUAAGAUAAUAACGUUUGAUAUAUUUAAAAAUAUUUUUCUAUUCUUAUAAUGUAAAUUAUAUUCACACACACACACACACACACAACACACAUCAAUCGUAUAACCUUAAUAUAAUAAAAUUUUUUUAUAGAAUUAUUCUCGUAUAUAUGAAUAUAUAAUUUUUAGAAAUAUAUUAGAAAAUUGUGUGAGAGAUUUAAAGAAUAAAUUUAUCUAUUCUUUAUGUAGAUUAAAUAUUAGAUUCAUUUAAGUUGCUAUAUUAGUUUAAUAGUAUGAUGUAAAAAGAAAAAGAAAAAGAAAAAAAAAAUUAAUUAAAAUUGAAACGACGUUUUCCAUCAAAUCGAAAACCAUAAGCGGCACUGUUAGGUGCAUCAACUAAAGCAGGAUUUCUGUAAAGAUGAAAAGUUCCAUGUAGAUGUGCUGGUCUCGCAGCAUUUUGUUCUUCAGCUUCUUUUCCCUUUAAAUAAAAUGCUUCAAAUUGACCGCCAGGUAAUAAGAUAUUUUUCAAAGAUUUAUCGUCUGGAUCAUAGGCAAGUGCUUGGAUCAUCAGACAACUGAAAAACCAAAUGAUCUAUCAGAUUGUUAAUGUCUUUUUACAAAAUACUUACGUACGUUUUAUAUUUGUAACGAUGAGUUUACGAUCGAACUGCCAUAGUAAAAGUGAAAGUCGUGUCCUCGAUUAUUGUAUCCGGAUAACAAUGCCGGAACAUGUUUCUAUGG